Molecule: transfer RNA, 73 nt
Filed under: Pyrinomonadaceae bacterium
Lineage: Bacteria; Pseudomonadati; Acidobacteriota; Blastocatellia; Blastocatellales; Pyrinomonadaceae
Description: tRNA-Ala
Rfam family: tRNA
About the family: Transfer RNA (tRNA) molecules are approximately 80 nucleotides in length. Their secondary structure includes four short double-helical elements and three loops (D, anti-codon, and T loops).
Source: RNAcentral
GGGCUGAAGGUGUUAAGGGGCCGCACGCCUGCCUUGCAAGCAGGAAGAUGGAGUUCGAGUCUCCAUCAGUCCA